Molecule: long non-coding RNA, 2186 nt
Organism: Myxocyprinus asiaticus (Chinese sucker)
Lineage: Eukaryota; Metazoa; Chordata; Actinopteri; Cypriniformes; Catostomidae
Exons: 3
Source: RefSeq, a predicted model, not a curated record
GGAUGUUUAAAUACUUUUCAGCAAGACAAAAACCUGAUUAAGAAAAUUAUUUUUGCAGUUUCACCGUCAGUAAAAAACAAACAUGGACUGCAUAUGUUGAAGAUUUGUCAAAAUGCCUGUAUUCUUUCUGUCUUUUUCUUUCUCUCUCCCUCUCUCUUUCUCUCUCUGUAUGAUUAUGUCUCUUGACCUUCAGCAGACAACCAGCAUGCUGAGAGAGCGGUUUAGUUUCCUAACAAUGGAAGAGGUGGAAGAGCUUUAAUUGCAGUCCCUUGGCCUGCUCUCUCUCCCUCUCUUCCUUUUUCUCUCUUUAUCUUGUUUUUUUUAUUUUUUUUUAUGAGUGUGUUGUAGAAGAAAUGGGAGAGAGAGAGGCCUGUACGACCUGCUGAUAGAAAAGGGAUUAUUGCAGCACAAGACAAGCUGAGACCUGAAACUUCUGAAGUACUGAAAACUGUGCAACAUCAACAGUGGUGCUGAAACCCGGGAGGGAGGAGGGCGCUGUCAGGUAGAGUCCUCGCCGCUGCCAUCUGCCAGGGGAGCAGCUGCAGCAGUCUGCCUGGGGACGGAGAGGUCGCUGCCGGCCACCGAGAGCGGGAGGCACCGCUGCCGUCCGCCGAACAAGGGGAGGAGUGGUUCCGUCCACCGGAGGACUCGCUGCUGUCCGCCGGGGGAGGAGCGAACUGGCGUUAAAAUGCACCUGUAACAGGUAAAGGUUUGCAGGAGGCAGGGUGGACCACCGGCUGACAGAGCGGCAGGAAGGGCAAUGUCUCCCCUUCAGAGAUGAGGGGAAGUUGGUCAGAUCAGUGGCGCCCUGGCCUGAAUCGGGUGGGGGAGGAGUAUGAUGAGGAGGAGGACGUGGCCGGCUGCUGAUCAGCGGGAGAUCGAGAUAAAGGGGAGCUGGAGGCGCCAGUUCAAGAGAGAGAGAGGUACACGCAGCCGCGUUGCAUGUGUGUCUGUGUCCUUAUGUUUUAUGUUGUUUUAAGUUAAUGUAUAUCAUUAACGUUUAUGUUUACUGUUCAGCUGGUUCCCGCCUCCUCCUUGCCCACCUUUACCUGUUACAGGUGCAUUUUGAACUGUUCUGAGACCAGUGAAGAUAGACAGCACACUGGAGGUUAAGUCAUUCACUAAAUAUGAAGUUACUGUUUACAAACAAACGCUCUGACACUUACAGGUUCUUUUUGAAGUAGAGAAAAUAACUGCAGUCUAUGGCGCUUUGCUCAAAUUGUGUUUGUUGGGUUGAAACAGCGUGUUUACGAAAGAUUUGGGCUUCUUUAAAUUUCUAUCAGGAUCGGUAGAUUAGGAUUAACUCAGGAUUUAACAUAAUGAUAUUUCACGGAUGACCGUCAUUGUUAUUGACAUUGCUAUGAUCACAAACCACUGUUUUUAAAAUCCAAAAUGCAAUCGUGUGACAAAUAUGAGGCUAAAUAUGAUCUAACGUGGAUCUUAUAUGAACAAAACCCAUGGGCCAUGGGAGGUCUAACGGGAAGAAUGGGACCCCGUCUCCACCAUCGCAACGCAUAUGCUGCUGUUUGUGAAAGGAUAUUGUAACAAGAUAAAUGGAAAGGAGGAGGCGAGAACCGGCUUGAUAAUAUAAAUAAAGGUUUAAUGAUACAUUUAACCAAAAGCACAAACACACACAGGUGUCGGACAGCUGUCCGUAACUCACUCUCUCUCACACUGCCGUCUCCGGUCGGCCUUAUCCCUCUCAGGCUUAAUCAGCCUAAUUAGGGUCCGGGUGUGCGGAAUCACGACCCGGCCACGCCCUCUGCCCUGCCACAGAUAUGUGAAUAAAAAUAAUGUGGUACUGCUAAAAUGAAUUUAAAUUUGUUUUGAGUGCAGUAAUUAACAAUUGUUCAAUCUAAAUUGGCUUAAAUGUUAUUUACUGUAUGGGGGUUAAUAAUUUAAGCAGUAAAGACGUAUAUUGUAUGACUGGUGGUAGUUUUAAUUUUUUCAGGCUUUAGAAGUGUGUUAAACAUGUGAGGAUGUGUAUUCAUCAACCUGUCUGACAUAAUCAUACAGGCAUAUUGAAUCAAGUUAAAAUGUUUGUAAAAUGUCAGUAUUAGAUUCAGAAUUUAUAUUGUAUAAUUUUAUGUUAACAUGGUUGGCAGUGAUUGGAUGAUGCUGGCCAUUACUUUGAAUCAGAAUUAAAUAUGCUUAUUUCUGAUUGGUAAAAUGCUUUGACAGUGCAA